This 623-nucleotide ribosomal RNA is filed under the name Proteroduboisia globulare. RNAcentral's name for it is "partial large subunit ribosomal RNA". It matches the Rfam family "Eukaryotic large subunit ribosomal RNA", at positions 77 to 513 of the family's 3401-position model. Lineage: Eukaryota; Metazoa; Platyhelminthes; Trematoda; Diplostomida; Diplostomidae. The record is from RNAcentral.
CCCCUAGUAACUGCGAGUGAAGGGGGAUUAGCCCAGCACCGAAGCCUGCGGCCGUUUGGCUGCUAGGCAAUGUGGUGUUCAGGUUGACUCUUGGCAUUACUGCUCCAUCCUAAGUCCAGCACUGAGUAUGGCAUCUGGAGUGGCCCAUUGAGGGUGAAAGGCCCGUGGGGGUGGAGAUCAAGUCGGCCAGUAUUGCCCUGAGUAGACCUUGGAGUCGGGUUGUUUGUGAAUGCAGCCCAAAGCGGGUGGUAAACUCCAUCCAAGGCUAAAUACAAGCACGAGUCCGAUAGCGAACAAGUACCGUGAGGGAAAGUUGAAAAGUACUUUGAAGAGAGAGUAAACAGUGCGUGAAACCGCUCAGAGGUAAACGGGUGGAGUUGAACUGUAAGCUCCGGGGAUUCAGCUGGUGAGUGUGUCGUGGGCUUGGUCAUUUUCGGCCGGCCUCUGGAGUCCGCUUAGCUGCGGGUCCUUGCUUCUUCGGGAGUAGGGAUGUGCGUUGCGCUUAUCAAGUGCUGUGCGCUCUGGAGGUUGCCGGGCUGGCUCGCCAGUGCACUUUCUCGGAGUGGUCACCACGACCGGCGUUGUUGCCUUGCUGCUGUGGUCGAACCGGUCAGGUUUGGUCC